This 460-nucleotide ribosomal RNA is filed under the name uncultured bacterium. RNAcentral's name for it is "partial 16S ribosomal RNA". It matches the Rfam family "Bacterial small subunit ribosomal RNA", at positions 338 to 795 of the family's 1533-position model. The record is from RNAcentral.
CCUACGGGUGGCAGCAGUGAGGAAUAUUGGUCAAUGGACGAGAGUCUGAACCAGCCAAGUAGCGUGAAGGAUGACUGCCCUAUGGGUUGUAAACUUCUUUUAUAAAGGAAUAAAACGAGGCACGUGUGCCUGUUUGCAUGUACUUUAUGAAUAAGGAUCGGCUAACUCCGUGCCAGCAGCCGCGGUAAUACGGAUGAUCCGAGCGUUAUCCGGAUUUAUUGGGUUUAAAGGGAGCGUAGAUGGGUUGUUAAGUCAGUUGUGAAAGUUUGCGGCUCAACCGUAAAAUUGCAAUUGAAACUGGCAGUCUUGAGUACAGUUGAGGUAGGCGGAAUUCGUGGUGUAGCGGUGAAAUGCUUAGAUAUCACGAAGAACCCCGAUUGCGAAGGCAGCUUACUAAACUGCGACUGACAUUGAUGCUCGAAAGUGCGGGUAUCAAACAGGAUUAGAUACCCGGGUAGUC